This is a long non-coding RNA of Cucumis melo (muskmelon), 608 nucleotides long. RefSeq lists it as uncharacterized. The record is from RefSeq and is a predicted model, not a curated record. The transcript is spliced from 2 exons. NCBI's taxonomy places the organism in Eukaryota, Viridiplantae, Streptophyta, Magnoliopsida, Cucurbitales, Cucurbitaceae.
ACCAUGAGGGUCAGUAAUCCCAUCCUAUCCCCCCAAUUGGAGAUAACUUGAUCAUUAACAGGUUUCUUUAUUUUCUAUCUUAAUUUUUUAUGGUUGUUCGCAUAGGGAGUCUUGGACAUCACCACCACAGAGGUCGCAGACUACUUAAUUGGAGGUGUCAUGACUUGAAGUGGAUAUUUUUAUGGUUCUCUUCCCUUGAACAAUAUUUUAAAUCUCUAUGUUUCUCUCAUCUCACAGGGUUCUCCUUUUUGCAAACUUGUUCGUGAAGUGCUUGUAGAGUUGGAGUUACCACAUUUAGGAGUUAUCACUAAACAAAUGACUGCAAUAGAAGAAAUGGUUGCAAGUGAGUACAAUUAGCCAGACCCUCAUCUUUGUGACAAGAUCUUGAAGUUGGUCAUUUGUGAAGCGUUCUACUUUGCUAUUAGUUGCAGUUUUAGUUAUUGCUCUCUCAAUAUAUUCUUUUUCUUUCUUUCUUUCUUAUUUUCCAAAGGAUGAUCAGUGUAAUAAUUAAGCUUCAUAAUUUCUGUGUUUGGAUCCAAGUUGUAUAUAAAUGUCACAUUAUUAAGAUUUCAUUUUGUAUAUGUACAAGUAAAAGAUUUCAUUUUUAA